AUGUGGAGCAAGACGCAGCAGCAGAAGAGGACUAAGCCGAGGAGGUUAUGGAAGAGGAUGGAGUAGGAGGAGUAGAGGAGGUGGCAGCGUACUGGCAGAGUACACGCUGUAGGGCUGACACACCUGCUUGAAGAUAACUAACUGCUAUUCAAUCUAUACAGUGAAAAAAAAAAUUUGUUUUUAAAUCCAAGCUAUUGUGACACCAGUGAGUGAGUGGUGUGUUUAGUACUAUUGUUAUCAGUUUAAUCACUGUUACGCCCCCUAUCCGUUGAUGUGGAGCAAGACGCAGCAGCAGAAGAGGACCAAGCCGAGGAGGUUAUGGAAGAGGAUGGAGUAGGAGGAGUAGAGGAGGUGGCAGCGCACAGGCAGAGUACACGCUGUAGGGCUGACACACCUGCUUGAAGAUAACUAACUGCUAUUCAAUCUAUAACAGUGAAAAAAAAUUUUUGUUUUUAAAUCCAAGCUAUUGUGACACCAGUGAGUGAGUGGUGUGUUUAGUACUACUGUUAUCAGUUUAAUCACUGUUACGCCCC
Molecule: non-coding RNA, 533 nt
Organism: Pelobates cultripes (western spadefoot toad)
Lineage: Eukaryota; Metazoa; Chordata; Amphibia; Anura; Pelobatidae
Source: the annotation of a GenBank genome assembly